This 426-nucleotide ribosomal RNA is filed under the name uncultured bacterium. RNAcentral describes it as "bacterial SSU rRNA". It matches the Rfam family "Bacterial small subunit ribosomal RNA", at positions 28 to 449 of the family's 1533-position model. The record is from RNAcentral.
GACGAACGCUGGCGGCGUGCUUAACACAUGCAAGUCGAACGAUGAAGCCUAGCUUGCUAGGUGGAUUAGUGGCGAACGGGUGAGUAAUACGUGAGUAACCUACCUUUAACUCUGGGAUAAGCCCGGGAAACUGGGUCUAAUACCGGAUACGACCAAUCUCCGCAUGGGGUGUUGGUGGAAAGCGUUAUGUAGUGGUUAUAGAUGGGCUCACGGCCUAUCAGCUUGUUGGUGAGGUAACGGCUCACCAAGGCGACGACGGGUAGCCGGCCUGAGAGGGUGACCGGCCACACUGGGACUGAGACACGGCCCAGACUCCUACGGGAGGCAGCAGUGGGGAAUAUUGCACAAUGGGCGCAAGCCUGAUGCAGCGACGCCGCGUGAGGGAUGACGGCCUUCGGGUUGUAAACCUCUGUUAGCAGGGAAGAA